RNAcentral lists this unclassified non-coding RNA (339 nucleotides) under soil metagenome. Its description in RNAcentral is "partial contains 5.8S ribosomal RNA, internal transcribed spacer 2, and large subunit ribosomal RNA". The stretch from base 1 to 120 matches the Rfam family "5.8S ribosomal RNA", at positions 35 to 154 of the family's 154-position model. The record is from RNAcentral.
GAUGAAGAACGUAGUGAAAUGCGAUACGUAGUGUGAAUUGCAGAAUUCAGUGAAUCAUCGAAUCUUUGAACGCACAUUGCACCUCUCAGUAUUCCGGGAGGUAUGCCUGUUCGAGCGUCAUUUGUACCCUCAAGCUCUGCUUGGUGUUGGGUGUUUGUUCCGCCUCUGUGUGUGAACUCGCCUCAAAACAAUUGGCAGCCGGCGUACUUGUUUCGGAGCGCAGCACAUUUUGCGAUCCAGAUCAACGUACAGCGGCAUCCAAGAAGCCUUAUUUAACGCUCUUGACCUCGGAUCAGGUAGGGAUACCCGCUGAACUUAAGCAUAUCAAUAAGCGGAGGA